GAUGAACGCUGGCGGCGUGCCUAAUACAUGCAAGUCGAGCGAACAGACGAGGAGCUUGCUCCUCUGACGUGAGCGGCGGACGGGUGAGUAACACGUGGAUAACCGACAUAUAAGACUGGGAUAACUUCGGGAAACCGGAGCUAAUACCGGACAAUAUAUUGAACCGCAUGGUUCAAUAGUGAAAGACGGUUUUGCUGACACUUAUAGAUGGAUCCGCGCCGCAUUAGCUAGUUGGUAAGGUAGCGGCUUACCAAGGCAACGAUGCGUAGCCGACCUGAGAGGGUGAUCAGCCACACUGGAACUGAGACACGGUCCAGACUCCUACGGGAGGCAGCAGUAGGGAAUCUUCCGCAAUGGGCGAAAGCCUGACGGAGCAACGCCGCGUGAGUGAUGAAGGUCUUCGGAUCGUAAAGCUCUGUUAUUAGGGAGGAACAAAUGUGUAAGUAACUAUGCACGUCUUGACGGUACCUAAUCAGAAAGCCACGGCUAACUACGUG
Molecule: ribosomal RNA, 497 nt
Filed under: uncultured bacterium
Lineage: Bacteria
Description: partial 16S ribosomal RNA
Rfam family: Bacterial small subunit ribosomal RNA
Source: RNAcentral